CCUACGGGUGACAGCAGUGGGGAAUAUUGCGCAAUGGGCGUAAGCCUGAACCAGCCAAGUCGCGUGAGGGAUGAAGGUUCUAUGGAUCGUAAACCUCUUUUAUAAGGGAAUAAAGUGCGGGACGUGUCCCGUUUUGUAUGUACCUUAUGAAUAAGGAUCGGCUAACUCCGUGCCAGCAGCCGCGGUAAUACGGAGGAUCCGAGCGUUAUCCGGAUUUAUUGGGUUUAAAGGGUGCGUAGGCGGCCUUUUAAGUCAGCGGGGAAAGUCUGUGGAUCAACCAUAGAAUUGCCGUUGAAACUGGGAGGCUUGAGAAUGUUUGAGGCAGGCGGAAUGCGUGGUGUAGCGGUGAAAUGCUUAGAUAUCACGCAGAACCCCGAUUGCGAAGGCAGCCUGCCAAGCCAUGACUGACGCUGAUGCACGAAAGCGUGGGGAUCAAACAGGAUUAGAUACCCCUGUAGUC
Molecule: ribosomal RNA, 460 nt
Filed under: uncultured bacterium
Lineage: Bacteria
Description: partial 16S ribosomal RNA
Rfam family: Bacterial small subunit ribosomal RNA
Source: RNAcentral